AACCACUGGACCGCCAGAGAAUUCCCUAGCUGACCAUUUUGACUUUGUAAACUAAUUGCUUGGAAACUGGCCCAGGAUUUGAGGAGCACAGUUUGUGGGCAUGUAGGGCAUGGCGGGUCCUAGAGGCUGCCUGGGCCUAACACUGGCCUGGAGCAGCCUGAAGCCCGUCAGGAGCCAGAGGUGUGUUUAGAACAGGCGAGGGGUAAGCCUGAGAGGAGCUGCAGACACAGCCGCCUGUCACUGAGUGCCAAAAAGGGGCCGGGGGUCCUGGGGCAGAGGGCAGUGUGGCUGGCGGGGCCCCGGAAGGGAGAGUCCCUCCACAACCAGGCUCUCACUGUGCCCCAGCCUGCAGCAUCAGACCGUCUUUGCCGUCGCACUCCUGCUGAGCCCCAGCAGAAAGUGCCUGACGAGGACCCAGGCACUGUGUGGGCCUUCCGAAGUUUUAGAAUGAUCAGAGUUACCCAGUUACAGGAGACCCUGAUGGUCCCUGUGACCUUUGAAGAAGCUCCCUGGAGCUUUGAGGGUCUGGCCCAAGCUUCUCCCCUAAGCCCCCCCACCACACAGCCCCAGGGCCCAGCUCAGGCUCACAGCUGCCAGAAUGAGUCCACUCCGGGUCCCCACCCUAGCCCGUGCGGGAGCUGCCAUGGGUCUCAGAGCAGGCCCAGGGCCCCCGCCGGGAGAGGCCGCAGGUGCAUUCAUUGUACUGAACGUAGAAUCAGUAAAGACAAGGGUCUGGACCAUCUACCCAGCCUCCAGGGACCCAGGGUGAUCAUUCUGUGGUGCAGCUGGUAUAAACGUGACGCAGAGUUUUUACGGCCAGAUCAGCUGGGGCUCAUUUCCUGUUGAUGUCUCACGGGUCCAGCCCUGCUUCUGCCAUGGCACCUGGGGGCUCUGUGUCCACAGGGCCAUCUGUCCUGGCCCCACACCCUCUCUUCCUCCUGCCUUCCUGGGCACCUCAGCCGGGACCUGGGUGCCAUCUGGACUCUGCCUUCCCUCAGUCCCCACAUCCUAUCAGUCCCUCCUGCCCACCCAAGCCCCCGUGGAGCCCCUGUGCUGGUCCAGGACUGCAUCACAUGUCACCCACUUUCCCAGCCUCUUCCCCAUCAGGCCAUCCUCCACACAAUGGCUGGAGAGACUCUGUUUAAUCAGAACACAUCACAGACGCCUCAGCCCCACUGAGGCCUUGCUCAGCACUUAUUGGGCGUUGCGUCUCCCCAGCCAGGCCCACCCAUGUCUGCAGCCCCAGCCCUCUUUGUGUUCACCUCCCAGUCUCCGGAUGUGGUUUCCUGUCCAUGCCUUGCUAUUUUCUCUGCCCCUCGUCUAGCUCACCCUUCUUCUUCUAAGACUUAGCUUAGAAAUCACGUCUUCAGACAAGCCCUUUUGUCCCCCUUGCCAGGUGGCUUAGGUUCCUUCUCUGGGGGCUCCCGUCCCCCUUGGGCAUGGCCUGAUCUCUGCAAUUCUAGAUCAUAAACGCUCAUGGGGUGAGGCUACCUCCCUGCAGAACUGGGGGCUUCUUGGAAGAAGGAGCUGCACUGUGGGCGCCGGGGUUCCCCGGGCUGCACCAGCAGCGGGAUCUCAGGAAAUGGAGGAAAUCACUUUGAAGCAAACACAGGAAGGUUACGUUUCGAAGCAGGUGUGUCUACUCAGACCACAGCCAUCUGACCAGGAGCCCCUCACUCAGCAGUUUCAUUUGAGUUUAACCUGGAGUUGGGGUGACAGCCCCCUCGCACUCCCACGUAGCCUGAUGGGUUUGCCUUCCCCUCUCCCACGGCAUACCGAGUGUACACCUACAGGAGCCAGCUGGCUCCAGGCUGGCUGCAGCGAGAGCUGCAAGAGAGGACGCAGCCGCCUGAACCAUCUGGGCCCCCAGGAAGAGCCUGCAGGUCCUGUCCCUGUGGGGUGGGGUGUCUGGAGCUGCCCCAGCUGCCAGGAGCACCUGCAGUUGGUACCAAGGUGUUCGGGGUUGGGGUCCAGGCCAGACACCUGGGGAGCCCUGGAUGUUGCCCCAGUGUCAAAGAACAGACCCCCUCCCACGUCUCCCUCCCCUUUCCUCUUCUCUGUAGUCUGAGGUCAUCAGCCCAGCCCAGCCCAGCCCAGCCAACACCAUAUUCCCCUGCCCCACCCGGCACCGUUCCCCUGUGCUCAGUCUCAGGCCACAGGCCCCAGACCCACGGUCUGCACCGCAGUCCGGAGGAGCUUCUGAAACAAUCCGAUUAGACUCUUUCUCCCUUUGGUGGUCUCAUUGUUUCGGGGGAUGAAGUCCAGUCUCCCAGUCUCUGUCUAGGGUCCUCUGAGCUCCUGCCCUUACUGGCCUCUUUCCCCACCCAGCCUCCACCUGGGCUCCUCCACCACCUCUGAUGCCCACUGCUGUCUGACCUCCAGGCCCCUGCCCCUGCCGGGCUCUCUGCCUGAGACUCCUUUCCUGCCUUGUUUCCUAUCAGCUCCUCCUUAACUCUUCAGGGCCCAGCUGAUAUGCCGCCUCCUGGCGGGGUGGGAUGGGGGGCAGGAGGGGUCUUCUUUGACCCACCCAGGGCUGCCUGUGACCCCCAAACCCUCUCCAUGCUGUGCUGUCAUCCUGGCAGGAACUGGAGUGGUUUAACAUCUGGAUCCCACAAACGGAACUCCAUCAGGACUGUCUGGCUGAGCUCAGGCAUCGAUGGAUUUGAGGGGGCUGGCAGCCCAGAGGGCCGAUGGGCAGCGGUGGCCAUCACAGCGGUUCUCCGAGAUGUGGUAGAUCCGAGCACCUCAGUCCUUCCUGCCUGCCAUCCUGGCCCUUCACGACUCUCCUAGGUCCCCUGUCCAGAACCCCUCCACCUGCCUCUCCUUCCACGGUGCCCUGGACAUAAGGAGCCUCAGGUGCUGCCCACAUGCCCUGCUGCCACGUGCAGUCCCUGCAUCCACGCACAGAAGCUGCUGACGCAGUUGACACAAAAGGGAUUGCCACCAAUGGAGCUGGUUUCUAAAGCUCUGUGGUUAAUUAUUUUGUCUCAGUGAAAUGAAAGGAGGGUAAACAAACAGCAAUACAUUAAUUAGUCUGAUCUACACUUUCUCCACGAAAGAGGAGAGCAAAGUUAAACAUUGGAGGCUGGCAGCUUUUCAGAGAACCCGAGAGUCCUCGGAGGGCUGGCAGGGCAGGAUGUGGUGCACAGGCACCCAGCCCGCGCCCCCAGUCCCAGCCCUUUCUCUUGCCUGGCCCGGCCCGGGUUCUGUCUCCCAGGGAGGAACACCUACCUCUCCUCCCCGCCACAGUUCUCUGCUUCCGUGUCCUGGGGUUGGCACCUUUGCCAAGAAAAGUCCACCAUGGGCAUUUCUGGUGGGGCUGACAGGUCUCUCAAAGGCCCUGUGUGCUGAGCUGUUGCCAGUCACCCCUGCAGGCAGGAUUGCUCUCUCAGGUUCCUAUUUUAAAGCCGACCAUCACCCUCGGGUUUAUCCCUAUUGUGAAUCCUGGUGUGUGGCUUCUAGGGUUGCUUGGGAUGACCUCUGCCCCAAUACCAUCGUUUCCAGAACUGGCCUGGAGUCCCAGACACCCUCAGGUCCUGGGCUCAGGAGUGGGGGUCUACAGAGUGCCCAAGGGAGGGCUCCCAGGACUCAAACACUCUGUUCUAGAAGCAGAGACCACAGCCUCACUCCCUCACCCCCGGCUGCAUUGCUCAAUGCUCAGUGUGGGCUCAAAGGUCAGGCUGACCUGAAUGAAAUCCUGGCACUGGAGUCAGGCUCACUGAGCCUCUGUCUCAUCAUGGGAGUAACAAUACCUGCCUCCCAGGACUAUCACGAGGAUUAAAGGGGGCCAGGCCACUAACAUGGCUGGCCCUGUUUCCUUCCCUACCUCCCCCUCUCCUUGCAGGGCCUCCCUGACCACCCGUCCCCUGAGGCUGGCCCUGUGUGCCCUGUUUGUUCUCCCCGACCUGUAAACUCAGUGGAGUUUGCAGACAGGACCAGCUGGUCCUGUGUGCUGUUCUGGGGCAGCCCGAGCCUGCCCGCUGUAUUUCUAGGCCCCGGACUGACCUGCAGAGCCCCUCAGAUCCUCAGAGAUGCCUCCACACCUUAGGUCGGAGCUGCUGGCCUUCACUAACUUGUUCCUCCCCCUGCGGCGAGGACUGGACUGGGUCUGAUUGCGACAAGGAGACCGGGCUGUGGAGCCAGGAUGGACAGAGGAGCAGAGAGCUCCAACAGUUUGCAGGUGGGAGAGGAAGAGGCGGCUGGUCAGGUCCUGGACAGCACCUGGGAGGUCACAGGCCCAGCCACUCCCAGACAGGCAAUGCCUGGGCCAUUGAGAGCAAGCAGCUCAUACCGCAGUUGCUUCUGCAGGUUACUGAUGAUCUGUGGUGACCCGUCAACACGGAGACCCCUGUUUGCUAACCUGUGACCUGCGGCCACCACAGCAUGAGAAGUGGGGACUCGGACUGAUCAAAGUCACUGUCCUCAGAGCUCUGUGGCUGGCUAAUCUGCCCUCCCCUGGGGAGGGCAUCCUCAGGAACAGGGCCUGGCCAGGCCUGGUCCUGUUUGAGUAAAGAUGGCAGGAUAGAGAGAUGGGUCCCCAACAACCCUCGUGGGCGAGCUGCAAUGGACAGGAUCUCUGCUACUGGAUGCCAAAUAACACUGGCACUGAGACGCCAUCCCACUUCCAUCUCCCUGGGAAGUGGACCUGGCAUGUGUGCUGAUCCCCAAGAUGAGCUGCACAGAGGCCCUAAGGGCCCUAGGGGUGCUGACUUUGAAUUUAAAUUUCUCCUGCAGCAUGAAAGUGAGUAAGCCAGACCAGUUCUACUGGCGAAGGCAAGCCCUGGCCCCUCUGAGGAAGCCCACACCAUCUUUUGGGAUCUCUAAGCCUUACUUUGGGAACUUCUGGGAAUCUGGGUCAGGUGUUGCCCCAUGUUGGGCUAGGAUGGGCCCUGGCCCUCCCUCACACCACUUGCAUCUGGUCCUCAUGCCUGCUGAGCCCUCUCAUCCCGGCAGCAGGGCUGGGAGUCCUGGAGCAGAGGGACCUCCUCUCGUCGUCUUUUUUGUUUCCAAAGGCUCACGUCUAGCAGGAGCUGAGCCAAGCCCCAGGUUUCCGCAGGAAAGGCGGAGAGGAGUGUUCCAAUCCAAUGACCAGAAUGUGCUCGCAUCCCCGGCAGCACUGGGAUCAGGGCCGGCCCAUUUCUGCCUGGAUGCCUGCUGGGGAGGGGUUGGCAUAGCAACAUGAGCUCUGAGCUGCUGAAACUUGGAGUCAACUCGUAGCUGGGAGGACAGAAAGAACGACGGAAGAGGAUGCUUGCCCAUGCGACGCAGGUGAGACAAAUCCAGGCUAAUCCCUGAAAGCCACAUCCCAGAAGCAGAACCGGGGUCCAGGGUCUGGUGUGAACACGUGCUGUAGCAACGACUCCCACCAACACAGCUGUACCAGGGCAGCUCCAGGGCAGGACUGGAGCAGGCAGUUGUUGACCACUGGAGAGGUCACGUGCCAACAGCUGAGCAUCUGGACGGGCCUGGGCCUCCUACUUCAAGAGCUCUGAGCCUGCCCAGGUGCUGAGGUUUGUGCCUGAGCCUCACCUUGCAAGUGGCCAGAAGCCGGGCAUCCUGGAACUCCCUAGCAGGUUACAUCACCUGCCUCAGGUGAGCCCUGUGUUGUCUGCUGUGUGACCAGCUGAGUGCCAGCCCCCAACAAGUUCCCUGCUGGCCAGCGCCACUCAGGAGAGUCCUUCCUCAGGGACGGACACUAGGAGGAAUCUCACUUCUCUCAGGCUCCGCUGUUGAGGCUUUUGUCCCAGCAAAGUCCCUGCUUCCCUGACAUGAGAGCUGAUGUUAAUGGUCCCUGAGCCGAACAAGGCUUGGAACAUACUUCACUUAAGAAGAAAGGACAACAUACUUUCUGUGGGAGUGGAACUUUAAAUACAAGUCCACACAAAUGGCAGGAUUUAUGCAGACUCAGUGUUCAGCUGGGUUUCAAAUACAGCCUUUCCUCCUGGAAUGGAUUGGCUGGCAGAGCAGUGUGUAGGCAUUUCAAGGCACCAGAGAACACAGAUGAAGACAACAAACCUCCCUAAAACGGAAUAGACUUGCUAAAAUUCUUCUGAAAGGAAUCAUUUCACAUUCAGCCUGAAGUUUUCUAUGCAAAGAACAUUUAACAAACUGAGUCCUAGAGGAGAAUUUCUGCAAAGAUUAAAAAGCAAAUCAGUGCGAAUGGGUAAAUAAAAUCAGGCAUCAGCAUCUCACCAACCUUCCCUGUAGCUCUGGGCAGCUGGGCCCGAGGGCUGCAUUUCUGAACCAAGACUGGAUCUCACUCACCACUGAGGGCUGAGGUCCUUGUCCUGGGCCCUUUCAGAGGCCUUGGACACCAGGCCACUGCUAUCCUCAGGUCCUGCCUCUGCACACGGCACCACAGGAGCCCUUGGCUCUGAGAGAACCAGCCAGAAGACCUCCUGAGAGAGGAUGGCCCAGCUCAGGCCGAACCAUGGACUGCUUGCUCGGGGAGGCCUCCGACCUGCCUGCAGGGCUGUCCUGGGCCUGCUCCAGAAGAAGCUCCUCUCACCUGAGGAGGGGCCGCGGGGACCUUCUUGUCCUUCUGGCUGAAGAGGGAGCACUCCCUGCGUGAACUCAAGGACCUGAAAGUAGAUGAGCGGUUCACAGAGGUGUCCGGACCUCCACAGUCACCGAGCAGCGCAGUACAAGUGACCCAGCCUCAAGCCCACAGGCCCACAGACCACAGACCAUCACCUGGGAUGACCCCUGAUGGACGUGCAGCUCCAAGUGAGACCACAUGCACAGACGCACAGAGCUUGGUCUGGGUUCCUGGAUGCCUCUACCUGUCCUGAGACACAGCCUGGAGAGCAGAACCAGCUGUGGAGUUGGAUGGACCUGCUCCCUAGACCACUGGAACAGGAGGGCCCUACGCGGCAGUCCCUGGGAUGAGAAAACCGUGUGUCAAGGUGGCUGCCGAAUCCCUCUCUAUUUUUACGUUCCUGACACUACCUCUUUGAGCCCCGAGGAGGCAUCCUGGCCUGAGGUGGACCGAGCUGGCAUCUCUGAGGCAGAUGUGGCCAGCCCUCACCUCAUUCUCCAGAAACCACCAAAAAGUCAGAUUGGAUGGAAAUUUUUGUCCCCGGUUCUUUCUCGACUGCCAGCCCAGCUGACCAACAGAGAUCCCAGACCCUUCUCUGCAAAUUCAUGGAGGUGGUGGCCACUAAGAGCCAACAACGUUCCGCAGACUCCUACCCCAGCCUCCCUUCACUGCACGGGCCUGCCUUCCAGACCUCUCUGCAAAGCUCCAACACGCCCUCACCCACACCAGGGCCAGCUAGUGACCUACCUCUGGUCCAUCAAGUCCCUCUUUUGGACUGUUGCUUCUCCAGCUCCUCUCACAAUUGACCCACAUGGUCAUGAUGGCUACUGUCAAGCCCUUGGAGCACCAGAUGAGGAAACUGAGGUCCAGAGAUGUAGACGAUAUAUCCAAGGUCACUCAACAGGCUGAUUCCAAUUCCUUAGAGUGUUUCAAAAUAUUUUGACCCAUAUGCUUUUCUUCUUCUAUAUGAGUUGGUGUAAACCCUCUGACUCAGAUGUUAAUGUCCAGACCUAACACAUGCAAGUGUGUGUGUGUGUGUGUGUGUAAUUCCCCCUGUUAGAGUUAGUCGUUCCUCUUCUGUGUUUCCAGUGCUCUCUGUUCAUCCCUCCAUCAUACAAUUUAUCUUGCUGCACUGGAAUUAUCUGUCUGUGUAUGUCCUCCUGACAGGAGUGAGUAGCUAAGGGCAGGGACUUUGUACUGUUCUUUGUAUACAGUAGGCACACAUGAAUUUUGUUAGAUGAAUGUUGAUGAAUUCACAACUGUCCACUCACUAUACAUAGGUUACCAUGACUUGGCCCUAUUAAAUGUGCAAUCCUUCUAUGGUUGAUUAAUUAAAAAUUAUGUUCUUCUGAAGGUUAAUAACUGAAAAACUAUACUUUGCUUAGCAUACUAUGCCUGUGAGGAGCAUAGCUGCUUGGGCCACACUGCUUCAUGGUGCCUCUUGUGGCAGUGUGCUCUAAUUGCAGGCAAAGGGUCUCAGGAGCGGGUCUUUCAAACAAAACAUGUAAAGGAAAAACAUUUUCACCAAAUGUAUGCAACAAGUUUCUGAAAUACACCAGCCUCUGCUUCCAUUGCCCUUACUCUGCUACCCCAGCAUCAGUAGCUGGAAUCACAGCUGCUCAGAUUUGACAUGAGAUAAGGUUGGCAAUAUUUCUAAGAUCCCAAUUUGGCUCACCUGCUGCGGCUACAGGUGAGGCAGCACCUAUAAGGAAACAACAUGAAGUGGCCAUGUUCAUUUUCACAAUUCCUACUCUGUGCUCCAUGUUCUGUUUUAGACUUGGCUAACCCCCUAAGGACAGGGACUGUGUCUCAUUCACUUCUGUCUCUCCAGUGGUUGGUGCAGGGCUUAACACAGAGUAGGUGCCACGUGCUGUGCUGGGACUGUCUAAGAAUUGGCGUGUCAGAGCCUUGGGGUUAGAAUGAUCUGGUAAAAGAGACCUGGCGGGAAAGCUGCUCUGAAGUAACCACAGCUGUACUUGCCGGUGCCCAACCAUUCCAAACAUCCAUGCCUUUAUUAUUAUUCUGAUUUCUCAAUUUGAUUUUAUUCUUCAGAAGUCACCAUUCCACUCCGUCGCAUUCAGUGAGUGUGGACACACAUUAAUCAUUACUGGGGUCAAUGACCAGAUGAGCCCUUAACAUUCCAUUACCAAGACAAGUGUUUGUCAUUUCUCAUUAGUAUUAUGUUUAUAGUCACUAGGGACUUAUCCCCGGACAACUUGUCAAAAUCUGCGUGGCCUUGCCAACACGGGGCAAGUUUAUCCUUCCAGAACUGUGGAGGGCAUCUGGAACCCUCGCAUGACUUUCCAAAGAAAACGCAGUGCAGCACCAUGGUCUCUUUCAUCUUCUAUCAUCUUGCACAUCAAAACUUCCCCUUCACUCAUCAAGGGACUCUUGCAGAGCUGUGAAUAUUACCUCCCCACUGCCUCACAUCCUUCACAGAACUGCAGGUGCCUCUUGGAAGAAGUGCUGCAUCUGUGUCCCUCUCCCUUCUUGCCUUUACUUUCCAUUGUUAUUAGAAGUGUAGCCAUGGAGAGAAAUCUGGUGGUCAGUGGUGACUGCAGCCCUGAGAAAAGAUAGAUUUUCCUUCUAAUCAGACUAAGAAGACUGGGGUUUGGUUUCUAGUCCCUGCAGUCUGCAGAACAAACUCAAGAUGGCAAGUCCAGAAAAAUCCCCUUUUGUGAGACAAGCUCUCUGCACGGGGGGCGGGGGUCACUGAUUGAUAGGUGCUGCAUCCGGAAUGGGCUGUGGGAUUUGCAGUGACCCUGACUCAGGCCCUCACAGCAGCCACUCUGGGAGGCAGCCACUCAGGGACAUUGCUGGAGAAUCACAGACCAAAGGAUAACACUGCCUGCCUCCUGGAGCACAGAGAAAAGGUCUCAGUCCAGGGGCAAGCCUCUGCCUCCUCCCUCACAGAAAAAGCCCUCCUAAGCUUUUUGCCUGGAUUUGGGCACUGCGGCUGUGCUUGGCAUCUGUGCCUCUUGGCAACUCGUGCUGCCUGCCGCUUGACACAGGCAGCCAUCCUCGUAGCAGACCUCCCAGCCUUCUCCUGCCUAGAGCUUUUGUGAAGACCAAAUGAGAGAAAAGUCCAUGCAUGUUCUCUAAAGAGCAAAGAGCACUGGUAGGAAUGCUGGAUGGCUGUGCUGUCUGGCCACGCCCUCCACAAGCUCUGGCUUUGGGUAUGCUUGAUGAGCACGUUCCACAUGGCAACAAAAUGCCCCAAUUCAGUGAGAUACCUCAAAUUGGUAGUUUCAGAUUUUACAUUCCUUUCUUUGCAUAUGAACUUUUUUUUGGCCAAAAAUUGUUAGCCACAGGUUUUCUAAACCGUUCUUACCAAACAUCUAUUUCCUACUGAAACUCUCUUCUCCAUUUCAGGGUCCCCAGAAUACACCACUGGCAUACCCAGCCUUGUUCAUUUGGUCACAACUUUUCCCUGCCUUCCCUCCCCACCCUACUGACCCUUCAGAGCCUCUUCAUAUUGUACCCACCUUUUUUUUUCUUUAUAAAUUUGUUUGUUUUUAUUUUCGGCUGUGUUGGGUCUUCGUUGCUGUUCC
Delphinapterus leucas (beluga whale) is the source of this 10089-nucleotide non-coding RNA. NCBI's taxonomy places the organism in Eukaryota, Metazoa, Chordata, Mammalia, Artiodactyla, Monodontidae. The record is from RefSeq and is a predicted model, not a curated record.